Molecule: ribosomal RNA, 292 nt
Filed under: uncultured bacterium
Lineage: Bacteria
Description: partial 16S ribosomal RNA
Rfam family: Bacterial small subunit ribosomal RNA
Source: RNAcentral
GUGCCAGCAGCCGCGGUAAUACGGAGGGGGCGAGCGUUAUUCGGAAUUAUUGGGCGUAAAGGGCGCGUAGGCGGCCCGGUAAGUCAAAGGUGAAAUCCCUCGGCUCAACUGAGGAACUGCCUUUGAAACUGUCGGGCUUGAGGCCGGGAGAGGGUAGUGGAAUUCCCAGUGUAGCGGUGAAAUGCGUAGAUAUUGGGAGGAACACCAGUGGCGAAGGCGGCUACCUGGACCGGUUCUGACGCUGAGGCGCGAAAGCGUGGGUAGCAAACAGGAUUAGAUACCCUGGUAGUCC